Molecule: long non-coding RNA, 860 nt
Filed under: Anser brachyrhynchus (Pink-footed goose)
Lineage: Eukaryota; Metazoa; Chordata; Aves; Anseriformes; Anatidae
Description: lncRNA (ENSABRG00000019775.1)
Source: RNAcentral
AAAUGGUCCAGAUUCCUAUUACCAAGCUAUUUUUAUACUUCUCCAAAUGGAGUUCUAAGUGGGUGCAAAUUACCUCUGUAACUUAAUAGAUGUGAAUAUGCAUCCCAUUAUUAGAAACAGUUAGAAAGAGGGAUUGAUGGAGAAGCACUCACACUAGCAGAGCUCACUGCAAAAUUUAUUGUUCUCGAACUUAUACUUUUUUUUUCUUUUUGUGCUUCUAGAAAACGGUGGAGUGAAUUUGAUGCUAAUGAAAGGGUGAUUUUACAGCCUGGGAUACCAGAAUUCUGUUUAUGCAGUGAACAGCUUUGCAGUGUGGAUAUCUGUGCAGAUGAAAUGUUGGAAAAUGUACAAGGAGGGUCACUGUUUGAACUAGUGUUAUAGCAGAUUACAGCUUGAUUUUUUAAGAAAAAGAAAGAACAGUACUGCACACCCUUACAUUCUCUGCAGAAAGGCGACUUGUGGCUUUUGGGAAAACCAGAGCUUCUACCUGGCAAGAAGUGGAUGGUGAACACCCAGCCUUUUUCUUCUAAGGCCUCACCAGAAGGAGAAAGAUGCUCAAGAAGAGGAAGGGUUUCCAUUCCAAAUGCACAGAGAAGAGAAGGAAGGAUAUGGCAAAGUUUUACCCCUAAAAUCCUGGCUGGGACAUACUUGCAGUAAUUGGACGAUAUAAAGGAUCACAUCCAAUGCAUCAUUUCUGACCUUGGUAUUCUUUACUGUUUUCUUUGCCAAACAAUGACAAAUAAUUACUGUCAUGGGAAGUUUCUGGUUUUAGAGUUCAUUUCCUGUCUUUGAAAUCAUGGAAAUUCAUUUGAAUUGACCAUUUUUGAUAUAUCUGCAUAGAGACAAAAGUUCAAGUGUUU